Long non-coding RNA from Ostrinia nubilalis (European corn borer), 914 nucleotides. RefSeq lists it as uncharacterized. The record is from RefSeq and is a predicted model, not a curated record. The transcript is spliced from 3 exons. NCBI's taxonomy places the organism in Eukaryota, Metazoa, Arthropoda, Insecta, Lepidoptera, Crambidae.
CAAUGACUCCAAGCUACCCAUCCUUAUCGCUCGCGCCUCAGAAUACGGAACAAACCAGAAACCGUCAACGGGCGUAAAUGUGUAUUCAUAUAAAUUACUCCAAAUCGCACUAAUUUGACUUUAGAGCAAUUAGUCAAUGGCCGGCGCGCGCAUUGUUUACAUAUCCGUCAGAUUGACACUUUAUAAUUAAAUUAUGCCGUCUUGUGCCGUUCCAACAUGUAAGAAUGCUACUGGAAUUACGAAGAAAGUGCAUGGGAUCAUGUUUUAUCCGAUACACAGCCAGAGUUGCCUCGCAAUCAAAUUCAAGUAUUGGUGAUGUUUUUGAUUUGGAUUCUGUUUUUGACUCCAAGAAAAGUUAAACUAAAAGCACUACUGCGCCGUAAACAAAUGUUUUGUUGUCGAUAUGUUUACAUAAUAAAGAACCUUAAGUUUCUUUUUUGUUUUACUUGGCAUUCUAAAAUUUAUAUUCGACUUUUGUAAUUGACUUUUAAAUAACAUAUUAUACCUACAUAUAGUAUAUUACACUAUUUAAUAGAAAUAAAUAAUCAUCUACACUUAGUUACUUCGGAGUAAAAAUUAAAUUCAUAGGUAGGUAGGUACUAUCUAUGCCUAUGGCCAGUCAUGUCGUCUCGUUCUAUCGCAAAGAAUCACCAUUUGAUAAGAGAGAUUUUUGCUCUCGAAAAACGGAAAUGGAUAGUUAACACUGUGGCCGUGUGUACUUAUUUCACUUACUUAUUUUUUACUUGUUUAACAUCUCUUUAAAAAAUUACAUAAUUUUACCCCAAAAAUGGGGGUGUCACACGGCGCUAGUAACACUAAAGGGGGUAGAGGGGCGCGGGAGGGGAAGUAUUUUGGACACAAGUUGCCGCGUAGAAAUGUUAUCGAACACUCCUUCUGGUUUGUUCUGUAUUCUG